This 933-nucleotide ribosomal RNA is filed under the name Triticum aestivum (bread wheat). RNAcentral's name for it is "partial small subunit ribosomal RNA". The record is from RNAcentral. Lineage: Eukaryota; Viridiplantae; Streptophyta; Magnoliopsida; Poales; Poaceae.
GCUUUUGUCAAGGGUCGUUUCAUUCUCGAUGGGGUCCUCUGCUUGCAUGAGCUUAUUCAUGACAUUCAUAAAUCAGGCAGCAAGGCAGUAAUUCUCAAAUUGGACUUUGAAAAGGCUUAUGAUUCGGUUAGUUGGAGCUUCCUUAAGCAAGUUCUUCUGGCUAAAGGUUUUGAUAGUGGGGUGGUUCACCGUAUUUUGCAGUUGUUCAUGGGUGGCCAUACUGCCAUUAAUGUCAAUGGGAGAGUUAGUAAUUUCUUUAACAACUCUAAAGGCCUCCGGCAAGGCGAUCCAGCCUCUCCCAUUCUCUUCAACUUUGUGGCAGACGCUCUUUCUAAUAUCUUAUCUAGAGCCGCAGAGGCUGGUCACAUCUCUCCUGUCUGCUCACACCUCUUCCCGGAGGGUAUUACGCACCUGCAAUACGCUGACAACACUAUUAUUUUGGUGGAACUGAACGAUCAUUGCAUUGCCCAUCUCAAAUUUCUGCUGCUAUGUUUCGAAGCUUUAUCGGGUCUAAAGAUCAACUUCUCCAAGAGUGAAGUCAUUGUCACUGGUGUAACAGAUUCAGAGGCCUUACGGGUGGCCCACCUUUUGAAUUGCUCUCUUGGCUCGUUCCCCAUUAAGUACUUAGGUCUUCCCAUCACCUCUGGCAAGCUCCUUGCCAAAGAUUUUGCUCCUACGGUGGCCAAGGUGGGUAACCGUGUUAUGCACUGGAGGGGCAGGUACAACACUCAGGCGGGUAAAGUUGCCUUGAUUAAUGCAUGCCUCACAUCUCUCUCGAUGUUCUUAAUGGGCUUUUACCUUCUUUCUAUGGGAACCCAUGCGGGCUUUGAUAAACAUAGAGGUGCUUUCUACUGGAACGCUGCUGAUAACAAGCACAAAUAUCGCUUGGUCAAAUGGGACCAUAUUUGUAAGCUCAAAAGCCUUGGGGGGCUG